GUCUAGUACUCAGAGUUUGAUCCUGGCUCAGAACGAACGCUGGCGGCAGGCCUAACACAUGCAAGUCGAGCGCCCCGCAAGGGGAGCGGCGGACGGGUGAGUAACGCGUGGGAACGUACCCUUUGCUACGGAAUAGCCUCGGGAAACUGGGAGUAAUACCGUAUGUGCCCUUCGGGGGAAAGAUUUAUCGGCAAAGGAUCGGCCCGCGUUGGAUUAGGUAGUUGGUGGGGUAAUGGCCUACCAAGCCGACGAUCCAUAGCUGGUUUGAGAGGAUGAUCAGCCACACUGGGACUGAGACACGGCCCAG
Molecule: ribosomal RNA, 307 nt
Filed under: uncultured bacterium
Lineage: Bacteria
Description: partial 16S ribosomal RNA
Rfam family: Bacterial small subunit ribosomal RNA
Source: RNAcentral